UGGGAAAGACAAGUGUCAAAUCACAGGUGUGUCUGUCAAGUGUCACUGGUUGUGACUUCUGCUGUCCUGGUAUAGCUGCAAAUGCUGUUGAAUAGUGAAACAGUGCUAGAAUUUGUCAUGUGUGCCGUUGCUGCCUUCGCUGCAACGCGCAUUUGCUUUUUAUUUUCCUCGUCUCUGUCACGAGGAAGAAUGUCUGCUAAUGAGGACCUCUCUCCACACAGAAAACUGUUCUCAGGCACAAUGAGGAGAUACUCAUCAGAACUUGGAGCCGAACAAGAUUGCACUGCCUCUUCAACAAAACUCUGCAUUUGAAAGUGAAAUUAAUUCUGUGAGUUGUAUGCAAUGGAACAUCUGGUUGAAGAUGGGGAAGAAAAUGCACUGUCAUUACUGUUUUCUGCUGCUCCCUCACCUGGGCCCUGCUCCCAGAGUCAGAAUGAUAAGGAUACCAGCAGUGCCACCCAUAAAUAUUGAAACUAUGUCAUCUGAGGGAAGAAAAUGAAGACAUCUUCCAAAAAUGGAAGUUAUAUAAAUUGGUUUUCCUGCUGGGGAGGUCAAAGAAAAGAUUCAGG
Molecule: long non-coding RNA, 569 nt
Organism: Motacilla alba alba
Lineage: Eukaryota; Metazoa; Chordata; Aves; Passeriformes; Motacillidae
Exons: 3
Source: RefSeq, a predicted model, not a curated record